This 429-nucleotide ribosomal RNA is filed under the name Acidobacteriota bacterium. RNAcentral's name for it is "Acidobacteria bacterium partial 16S ribosomal RNA". It matches the Rfam family "Bacterial small subunit ribosomal RNA", at positions 355 to 776 of the family's 1533-position model. The record is from RNAcentral. Lineage: Bacteria; Pseudomonadati; Acidobacteriota.
UGGGGAAUUUUGGACAAUGGGGGAAACCCUGAUCCAGCCAUCCCGCGUGUGCGAUGAAGGCCUUCGGGUUGUAAAGCACUUUUGGCAGGAAAGAAACGUCAUGGGUUAAUACCCCGUGAAACUGACGGGACCUGCAGAAUAAGCACCGGCUAACUACGUGCCAGCAGCCGCGGUAAUACGUAGGGUGCAAGCGUUAAUCGGAAUUACUGGGCGUAAAGCGUGCGCAGGCGGUUCGGAAAGAAAGAUGUGAAAUCCCAGAGCUCAACUUUGGAACUGCAUUUUGAACUACCGGACUAGAGUGUGUCAGAGGGAGGUGGAAUUCCGCGUGUAGCAGUGAAAUGCGUAGAUAUGCGGUGGAACACCGAUGGCGAAGGCAGCCUCCUGGCAUAACACUGACGCUCAUGCACGAAAGCGUGGGGAGCAAACAGG